RNAcentral lists this ribosomal RNA (254 nucleotides) under uncultured bacterium. RNAcentral's name for it is "partial 16S ribosomal RNA". It matches the Rfam family "Bacterial small subunit ribosomal RNA", at positions 524 to 776 of the family's 1533-position model. The record is from RNAcentral.
UACGUAGGGUGCGAGCGUUGUCCGGAAUUACUGGGCGUAAAGAGUUCGUAGGCGGUUUGUCGCGUCGUUUGUGAAAACCCGGGGCUCAACUUCGGGCUUGCAGGCGAUACGGGCAGACUUGAGUGUUUCAGGGGAGACUGGAAUUCCUGGUGUAGCGGUGAAAUGCGCAGAUAUCAGGAGGAACACCGGUGGCGAAGGCGGGUCUCUGGGCAACAACUGACGCUGAGGAGCGAAAGCGUGGGGGAGCGAACAGG